RNAcentral lists this long non-coding RNA (1165 nucleotides) under Marmota monax (woodchuck). Lineage: Eukaryota; Metazoa; Chordata; Mammalia; Rodentia; Sciuridae. The record is from RNAcentral.
AGAGCUUAUAUAUAUUUAUAUAUAUAAAUAUAUAUAUAUAUAUAUUUUUCCACAGAUAUUUCCUUAUUUUACAGAUAAGGAACGGAUGCUCAGACAGUUAGGUAACUUGCCUGAAGUGUGUGUGCUAACCUAUGCCAAAGCUAGGAUAAAUCAACUUCCUAUUGCUGCUCUAACAAAGGCCUCCAAAUUUAGUGGCUUAAAACAACACACUUUUUUUUUUGUACAGUAUAGUUAGAGGUCGUAUGUCUAAAGGCAGUCUCAGUGGGCUAAAGUCAGGGUCCGCAGGGCGGGUUAGGGUUGGGUCCCCUCUUCAGGAGGCUCUGGGGGACAACCUGUUUCCUGCCUGCCCCACUCUGCUCCUUCCUCGGUCGCGUCCGACCAGCAGGAAAACACCUUCCCCUCUGUCUGAACGCGGCUUCCACCAUCACAUCUCGUCUCUCGGACGCUCAGACCACCCUCUUACAAGGACCUUUGUGAUUCUAUCAAUCCAGGGUCAUGUCCCCAUCUCAAAUGCUUAAAUGAAUCACAUCUGCAAAGUCCCUUCUGCCUUAUAAACGUAUUCCCAGGCUGCAGGGACGGGGACGUGGACACCUUUGGCCUACUGUGUAGGACUUGGGGUCUUCUCUGAACCUGAGAUUUGUGGACCCCUGCUUCAUUCUUUUCCUGGUGCUGGGGAAGAAACCCAGGGCCUUGCCCACCUAGACAAGCUCUCAGCCACUGAGUUGGAUCUGACAUCAGCAGGGGCGGCUGGCACUGGCUGUAUCAGGAGAGAACCUGAGAGCAGGAGCCAACCAAGAUCCCGUCCAUCCUCCCACCUGUCCUGCCUUGUCAUUCCCUCUCCUCACGACGUGAGCCACAAAAUCAGAGAAACGAAGGAUAUUCAAGCAUCAUCUAAAACCGAGCAAGUCAACAAGUCCUCUGAGAUGAGGCGGGCCUGGAACCGAGACUUCCAGAACCCCUUCUCCUUCCCACAGUUCUUCACUAGAAUAUUAAUCGUCCCAUCUCCGUGAUCAGAGCUGGGCCGGCAUGGGGAGGAAGAUGUCCGGUAAAGACUGACGGAGGGAAAGAUUCUGGAAGGAAACUGCUCCCUUGCUCCUCCUCUCUGACUGAGCCCCCCAAUCCUCGUGGUGCUGAGCAUGUGGCGGACACCGGCUGAAUGAAUGAC